UACAGAGGGGGCAAGCGUUGUUCGGAAUUACUGGGCGUAGAGGGCGCGUAGGCGGCGUACCAAGUCAGGCGUGAAAGCCCUGGGCUUAACCCAGGAAUUGCGUUUGAGACUGGUAUGCUCGAGUACAGGAGAGGUCGGCGGAAUUCCCAGUGUAGAGGUGAAAUUCGUAGAGAUUGGGAAGAACACCGGUGGCGUAGGCGGCCGACUGGACUGUAACUGACGCUGAGGCGCGAAAGCGUGGGGAGCAAACAAG
Molecule: ribosomal RNA, 253 nt
Filed under: uncultured bacterium
Lineage: Bacteria
Description: partial 16S ribosomal RNA
Rfam family: Bacterial small subunit ribosomal RNA
Source: RNAcentral